UUAGGGCUGCACUUAAUUUAUUAAUUGUAUCCAUAAGUCCUGAAAGAAAAUCUUGUGUUGAUCAUUUUUGAUUUUGUCUUAUGAGGGUAAAAUCAUGACAGACUGACAUGGAAAAUU
Molecule: small nucleolar RNA, 117 nt
Organism: Eptesicus fuscus (big brown bat)
Lineage: Eukaryota; Metazoa; Chordata; Mammalia; Chiroptera; Vespertilionidae
Product: small nucleolar RNA SNORA69
Exons: 1
Source: RefSeq, a predicted model, not a curated record